UCCGUAACGAGCGCAACCCUUGUCCUUAGUUACCAGCACGUUAUGGUGGGCACUCUAAGGAGACUGCCGGUGACAAACCCGGAGGAAGGUGGGGAUGACGUCAAGUCAUCAUGGCCCUUACGGCCUGGGCUACACACGUGCUACAAUGGUCGGUACAAAGGGUUGCCAAGCCGCGAGGUGGAGCUAAUCCCAUAAAACCGAUCGUAGUCCGGAUCGCAGUCUGCAACUCGACUGCGUGAAGUCGGAAUCGCUAGUAAUCGUGAAUCAGAAUGUCACGGUGAAUACGUUCCCGGGCCUU
Molecule: ribosomal RNA, 298 nt
Filed under: uncultured Pseudomonas sp.
Lineage: Bacteria; Pseudomonadati; Pseudomonadota; Gammaproteobacteria; Pseudomonadales; Pseudomonadaceae
Description: partial 16S ribosomal RNA
Rfam family: Bacterial small subunit ribosomal RNA
Source: RNAcentral